This 72-nucleotide microRNA precursor is filed under the name Pteropus vampyrus (large flying fox). Its description in RNAcentral is "miRNA (ENSPVAG00000028918.1)". The record is from RNAcentral. Lineage: Eukaryota; Metazoa; Chordata; Mammalia; Chiroptera; Pteropodidae.
CCAUUUUCAGGUCCCUGUUCGGGCGCCACUUGGCGGAAACCAGCCGACCAGUCAAACCAGGUACCUGAAUGG